Molecule: ribosomal RNA, 449 nt
Filed under: uncultured bacterium
Lineage: Bacteria
Description: bacterial SSU rRNA
Rfam family: Bacterial small subunit ribosomal RNA
Source: RNAcentral
AAUCAACGCUGGCGGCGCGCUUAACACAUGCAAGUCGAACGGGAAAGUGGAGCAAUCCAUGAGUACAGUGGCGUACGGGUGAGUAACACGUGGGUGAUCUACCUUUUAGUGGGGAAUAACCCUGGGAAACCGGGGCUAAUACCGCAUAAUCCCGAGAGGGGAAAGCAGCAAUGCGCUGAAAGAGGAGCCCGCGGCCGAUUAGCUAGUUGGCAGGGUAAGAGCCUACCAAGGCAGAGAUCGGUAGCCGGCCUGAGAGGGCACACGGCCACACUGGCACUGAAACACGGGCCAGACUCCUACGGGAGGCAGCAGUGGGGAAUCUUGCACAAUGGGGGCAACCCUGAUGCAGCGACGCCGCGUGAGCGAUGAAGCCCUUCGGGGUGUAAAGCUCUUUCGGCAGGGAAGAUAAUGACGUACCUGCAGAAGCAGCUGCGGCUAACUACGUGCCA